UUAGUGGCGGACGGGUGAGUAACGCGUGGAAAACCUGCCGUAUACUGGGGGAUAACACUUAGAAAUAGGUGCUAAUACCGCAUAAGCGCACAGCUUCGCAUGAAGCGGUGUGAAAAACCCUGGUGGUAUACGAUGGUUCCGCGUCUGAUUAGCUAGUUGGUGGGGUAAUGGCCUACCAAGGCAACGAUCAGUAGCCGGCCUGAGAGGGUGAACGGCCACAUUGGGACUGAGACACGGCCCAAACUCCUACGGGAGGCAGCAG
RNAcentral lists this ribosomal RNA (262 nucleotides) under uncultured bacterium. RNAcentral describes it as "partial 16S ribosomal RNA". It matches the Rfam family "Bacterial small subunit ribosomal RNA", at positions 92 to 354 of the family's 1533-position model. The record is from RNAcentral.